UCUAACCUGUCUUUUGCUAAGAUUUUACAGGCUCCAGUGGAGUUAUUAAUGCAGUUCCUGGACAGACUGCAAGCUGCGCCUUCCCAGCGGGUCGACAGCAUUGAGGCCGGAGUUAUUGUGUUGCAGCUGCUUGCUUUUACAAACGCAGACAAAGAUUGUAGAAAACACUGCUCGCUGUUCAUAACCCACAUAGUUGUGACAUAGCAGAUAUGGUUAGAGCAUGCCAAAAUGUGGGAACUACUGCUUAUAACACCAAUUCUCUGGCAGAGGCUUUCCAGCGCUGGGUUUCCGCGCACUUCCGCAUCUGGACACGCAGGUGGGGGGCUGUUUUAGAUGUGGUUCCAUGGGCCAUUUUAAAAAGGAUUGCCCUCAACAAGGGGAUGGGAUAAAAAUACCAUCUAAAGAUUGUCCCAGGUGUGGAAGAGAAAACACGGGGCUGUUGACUGCCGCUGCCAGUACCCUGUGAUUUGGAAAGCAACAUAGCCAGGAAACUUCCAACUGGGGGCCGGUCUGUCUGUGCCCUGGAGAAUCACAAAAAAUGUGAGACAAGACUUUUAGCAAGCGAGCUCCUGCCUACAACCGCAGGCAGUGGCAGGCUGGAUCUUGCCUCCAGAGAAUCCAUAACUCUAAUGACAUCUUUGGUACAUUUGGCUCCUACUGGAGUCUGGGGACCCCUUGGUAAUAACACUCAUGCUUUGUUAAUAGGGCGUUCCUCUGCCACCAGGUUGGGACUUUUUGUACAGCCCGGAGUUAUUGAUUCAGAUUAUGAGGGCAAAAUGCAGAUUAUACUAUGGACCCCCAUGCCACCCUGCUUUACACCUGCAGGUCAACAUAGAGCACAACUUAUCCCGUCUCCAACAAAACCCCUAGUGGCAAGGGAAAACAUGCCACAGAUAACUUUGGCAGCACAGGUCACCCCAGAUUUUCCGGACAAGCUCUAUUACAACAGCUCAGCCAACUUUAACAUGCACUAUGUUGGAUGCAAAAAAAUUAAAGGGCUUGAUCAUAGUGGAGCUGAUGUCAAUAUCAUAAAAAUGAAUGGGCUAGUAAUUGGCCCACAAUCAGCUGUGCAUCAACCCUAAUUGGGGUGGGAGGGAUGCAGCACCCUAGACAGAGCGCUCACCUUUGGCUUGUCCUUGGCCUUGAUUCAAAUCGAGUUUUCCCCCUUGUGUUUCCCCACUGCAACUUCAGUGGUACUUCACCUUCUCCAUGCAGUUUCCAAGAGGAUUCAUGCAAUAAUUAAUUCUGUGUGUGAGCUGGAGCACUGGCACACAGCAGAGGGAUAAUUUAGGAUUUCAGCAAAGUCAUUUCUUCUGAGAAGAGGCAAGUCCAUGCUGCUCUCUUGGCUUUAAUCCUGAGAAAGUUGCAGGUUUCCACUGGGUCAUCCUCUACACUCCCUUGGCAGUCAAACAGCAGCAUACAGUGAAGUCCAAGGAAGUCCCAGAAAGCUGGGAUCAGAUGAUUCCUACCCAGGCAGACAUGUGCCUCAGGGAUUUGGGAUGCACCUCCUGCAAACUGCUGGCCCUGGGACCAGAACUGUCACCUCUCUUCCUGCUGACAUCCUGUUUGUGUCCCCAGCUAUGGAAUUUCACAUCCCCUCACCAGCCCAGUCCUUACAAGGGCAAACACUUCAUGAUCCAGGAGCUAAUGGGGCACCUGAAGAGGUGGGGAGGGACUUGGGACAAGGGUAUGGAGUGACAGGACAAGGGGGAAUGGCUUCCCACUGACAGAGGGUGGGGUCAGAUUGGAUAUUAGGGAAAAAUCCUUCCCUGUGAGGGUGGUGAGGCCCUGGCACAGGUUGCCCAGAGGGGUGGGGUCAGCUAAAAACAAACACAAGAGCUCCCAUGUCUGAGGCAGAGGGAGAUGAGCUCUAAUGAAGGGCUGGAAAGAGGAUCACAGCAGCCCAAAACCUGGUCCCUAAUAGCUUUCAUUGCAUCAUUAAGGGGAUUGGCAGUAAUUUGGGUGGGCUCUAAGUGCUGAUGACCUGGCUGCAAGCAACUGAAUGCUGUCCUUCCCUUGGGCUGUGUCAGCCUGCACUGGACUGACAGAAAUAGAAUUCUCAGCUCAGUUUGUUUUCUUGGGGCCAGGGAAGGUUUUGGCAAUGAUCCAGGAUCUCAGCCCAGAAUGAGAGUUGUUUCUGAGAAUCACUCAGAUGCUUGAGCAGUGCUGUGAGCACUCCCAGCACUGCUGGCAUUCCAGUGCCACCAGCAGCACCAGCAGCUCUCUGCUGCUGGAGGGACAGUGAGCCCUCAGGGUAGAUAAAGGAGGAAUGGUAGAAAUCUGCUCAGAGAGGGAAAGCAUUUGGAGAAUGUCCCACUUGGAAGAGUGUUUCUAAUCAGGAGGAAAUGAGGAACCAUUCAAAGAAAUUUGCAUGUUGAGCUACUUCCUCUAUGGCAGAAAAAAAAAGUCAAGACAAAUAACUCAGAGGAAGGGAAAUUCUGACGUAGCCAAAGAUUAAAUUUCUGACUCUCCCGCCAAGCCUUGCGAAACAACAGAGGGACAGGGCACGGAGAGAGCCAGCAGGACAGGAAUGGGGAGCUCCUGGUGAUCUGGGCACUUUCUCCUUCAUGGCACUGACCUGGCAGGAGCCGCUUUAGGACAUGGAUCCCAAAGGAGCAAGAGGCACCAGGAAGCGCCGCUGAUCUGCACAGACCCCUUUGCCUGCUGCUGCCCCACAGGGAACAGGGAGCUGCUGAGGAGCCGCAUGGUCCAUCCCUGGAUUCUCCAAGCACUGACUGCCCAUCCACUGUGACCACAGCCAGGGGCCACAUCCCACUGCCUGCCCAGCAUCCAUCCAUGGAGGAGCCGCUUUAGGACAUGGAUCCCAAAGGAGCAAGAGGCACCAGGAAGCGCCGCUGAUCUGCACAGACCCCUUUGCCUGCUGCUGCCCCACAGGGAACAGGGAGCUGCUGAGGAGCCGCAUGGUCCAUCCCUGGAUUCUCCAAGCACUGACUGCCCAUCCACUGUGACCACAGCCAGGGCCACAUCCCACUGCCUGCCCAGCAUCCAUCCAUGGAGUGACCAAUGACUCCUCAUCUCCCAUCUCACCCACUGAAGGAGACAAUCUGUGUGAGACAGAUGUCACCACGGUGCCCAUCCACAGUGUGACACUGCUCAUCUGCCUCUGUGGGCUGGCUGGGAACGGGGCUGUCAUCUGGGUC
Molecule: RNA transcript, 3161 nt
Organism: Motacilla alba alba
Lineage: Eukaryota; Metazoa; Chordata; Aves; Passeriformes; Motacillidae
Gene name: mas-related G-protein coupled receptor member H-like
Exons: 4
Source: RefSeq, a predicted model, not a curated record